GUGCAGCUGAUCACAGACUGUG
This 22-nucleotide microRNA is filed under the name Bos taurus (domestic cattle). Its description in RNAcentral is "bta-miR-10166-5p". The record is from miRBase by way of RNAcentral. Lineage: Eukaryota; Metazoa; Chordata; Mammalia; Artiodactyla; Bovidae.